UACGUAGGGGGCAAGCGUUGUCCGGAUUUAUUGGGCGUAAAGAGCGUGUAGGCGGCCAGAUAGGUCCGUUGUGAAAACUCGAGGCUCAACCUCGAGACGCCGAUGGAAACCAUUUGGCUAGAGUCCGGAAGAGGAGAGUGGAAUUCCUGGUGUAGCGGUGAAAUGCGCAGAUAUCAGGAAGAACACCCGUGGCUAAGGCGGCUCUCUAGUACGGUACUGACGCUGAGACGCGAAAGCGUGGGGAGCGAACAGA
Molecule: ribosomal RNA, 253 nt
Filed under: uncultured bacterium
Lineage: Bacteria
Description: partial 16S ribosomal RNA
Rfam family: Bacterial small subunit ribosomal RNA
Source: RNAcentral